RNAcentral lists this small nuclear RNA (313 nucleotides) under Vulpes vulpes (red fox). RNAcentral describes it as "7SK RNA (ENSVVUG00000007945.1)". It matches the Rfam family "7SK RNA". Rfam says of the family: 7SK was discovered as an abundant small nuclear RNA in the mid-70s but a possible function has only recently been suggested. Two independent studies have found that 7SK RNA binds the CDK9/cyclin T complex (known as elongation factor P-TEFb). The record is from Rfam by way of RNAcentral. Lineage: Eukaryota; Metazoa; Chordata; Mammalia; Carnivora; Canidae.
AGAUCUGAGGGUGAUCUGGUUGCUACAUCUGUCACCCACUGAUCACCAGGGGUUGAGUCAGCUGAUCAGGCUAUCUAGAUGGGUAUCCCCUCCUUCCACCAAUGCUCCAUGUGCAUCCCUCUAGAAGCGGCAUGCUCCAUCAAAAAGGAUGACCUUCCCUGAUAGAAAAGGAUCAUUUUGGGGUCAAGGAUAUACAAAUAGUUAUACUCCCCUGGUAAAACCUGCAACAAUCUCUCCGAGUCCAUUUGUAGAAGUACCUAGGGUAGUCAAGCUUCCAAGACUCCAGAUCUUUCUUUAAAAAAAGAAAAAUUAA